GCCUUCAUGGUGUAGUGGUCAAUACACUCGACGCGUAAUCGAGAGGUCUGUGGUUCGAUUCCCGGUGAGGGCA
This 73-nucleotide transfer RNA is filed under the name Stegodyphus mimosarum. It matches the Rfam family "tRNA". From Rfam's summary of the family: Transfer RNA (tRNA) molecules are approximately 80 nucleotides in length. Their secondary structure includes four short double-helical elements and three loops (D, anti-codon, and T loops). Lineage: Eukaryota; Metazoa; Arthropoda; Arachnida; Araneae; Eresidae. The record is from Rfam by way of RNAcentral.